Molecule: ribosomal RNA, 327 nt
Filed under: uncultured eukaryote
Lineage: Eukaryota
Description: partial 18S ribosomal RNA
Rfam family: Eukaryotic small subunit ribosomal RNA
Source: RNAcentral
CCCUAGAUGUCCGGGGCUGCACGCGCGCUACACUGAAGGAAUCAGCGUGCUAAAACCAUUGUCGAAAGGCAUUGGUAAACCCAUUAAAAUCCUACGUGAUUGGGAUCGGGAAUUGCAAUUAUUUCCCUUGAACGAGGAAUUCCCAGUAAGUGUGGGUCAUAAGCUCGCGUUGAUUACGUCCCUGCCCUUUGUACACACCGCCCGUCGCUGCCCGGGACUGAGCCGUUUCGAGAAAAGCGGGGACUGCUGCUGUCGGGGCUUUCGGGCCUUGGCUUCGGUGGAAACCGCUUUAAUCGCAGUGGCUUGAACCGGGCAAAAGUCGUAACA